ACAUCUGCAUGAUGAGUGAGAAAGCUGAUAGCGAUUGCGAAAUUGACCAAUGGAUAAAGCCGUGCGCACCAGGGAUGGGAAUCCAGAACUGGAAGGCUGAAAAGAUCAUCCGGGUCACUCUGCUAGAAGAGUAAUAUUUUUCCUGUUUCAAUUUUAUAUGCAUGAAAGCCAUACGUGUUGCCCGACACGUAAUGGUUCAUUGUAAGGGCCACCUCAUGUUUAAAUUUGCAAGUUUG
RNAcentral lists this long non-coding RNA (236 nucleotides) under Lathyrus oleraceus (garden pea). Its description in RNAcentral is "Pisum sativum (pea) long non-coding RNA (PSAT_LNC016195)". Lineage: Eukaryota; Viridiplantae; Streptophyta; Magnoliopsida; Fabales; Fabaceae. The record is from RNAcentral.